GACGAACGCUGGCGGCGUGCUUAACACAUGCAAGUCGAACGGAAAGGCCCUGCUUUUGUGGGGUGCUCGAGUGGCGAACGGGUGAGUAACACGUGAGUAACCUGCCCUUGACUUUGGGAUAACUUCAGGAAACUGGGGCUAAUACCGGAUAGGAGCUCCUGCUGCAUGGUGGGGGUUGGAAAGUUUCGGCGGUUGGGGAUGGACUCGCGGCUUAUCAGCUUGUUGGUGGGGUAGUGGCUUACCAAGGCUUUGACGGGUAGCCGGCCUGAGAGGGUGACCGGCCACAUUGGGACUGCGAUACGGCCCAGACUCCUACGGGAGGCAGCAGUGGGGAAUAUUGCACAAUGGGCGGAAGCCUGAUGCAGCAACGCCGCGUGCGGGAUGACGGCCUUCGGGUUGGAAACCGCUUUCGCCAGUGACGAAGCGUGAGUGACGGUAAUGGGUAAAGAAGCACCGGCUAACUACGUG
Molecule: ribosomal RNA, 468 nt
Filed under: uncultured bacterium
Lineage: Bacteria
Description: partial 16S ribosomal RNA
Rfam family: Bacterial small subunit ribosomal RNA
Source: RNAcentral